Long non-coding RNA from Anolis carolinensis (green anole), 1579 nucleotides. RefSeq lists it as uncharacterized. The record is from RefSeq and is a predicted model, not a curated record. Lineage: Eukaryota; Metazoa; Chordata; Lepidosauria; Squamata; Anolidae. The transcript has 3 exons.
UGCUGCACCUCACUGCACCCUGCUUCGGAACUUAUCUAACAAACCAGUUUGCAAAUAAUCCAGGAGCCCCCCGUGGCACAGUGGGUUAAACCUUUGUGCCAGCAGACUGAUGACUGAAGGCUGCCAGUUCAAAUCCAACCUGGGGAAAGCACAGAUGAGCUCCCUCUAUCAGCUCCAGCUCCAUGCGGGGACAUGAGAAAAGCCUCCCACAAGGAUGGAAUUCUGUGACUCUGGCCAUCUCUGAAGUAAUGCCCAGCCUUCCUGACACAUCUGAAUCCAUCCUACCUGAUUCUUCCUUGCCUUCAAAGAGAUGUUCUCUUUUGACAAAAGUGGAGCAGCUGGGUCACCAGUAGUUCAUUUAUUUGUUAACCUUUCCUUUGUUUAUGGAGCUACCAGUGCAAAACUUGUCCAAACAAAGUUUGUUAUGGAAAGCUUUAGUAUAGGUCUAACAAAAUCCCCAGAAUGAAUGUAUGACUAAUAAUAAUAAUAAGAAGAAGAAGAAGAAGAAGAAGAUCGAACUACAAAGACUCUGGCAGAAGCCAGUCAAGGUGGUCCCAGUGGUGAUCGGCACACUGGUGCAGUGUGUAAAGACCUUGGCCUGCACUUGAACACAAUCGGCGCUGACAAAAUUACCACUUGCCAGCUGCAGAAGGCCACCUUACUGGGAUCUGCACACAUUAUUUGCCGAUACAUCACACAGCCCUAGACACUUGGGAAGUGUCCGGCGUGUGAUCCAGUACAACAGCCAGCAGAGUGUCUGCUGUGGACUCAUCUUGUUGUGUUUCAAAUAAUAAUAACAAUAAAUCUUUAUUUCUAUCCCACUUUUCUCCCUAAAACAGGACCCAAAGCGGCUUGCAACUUUAUGUAAAAGACUAAAUAAAACAAUGUACAUAUAUAAAACACAACCUAUAAAACAAUUUUACAAUCCGAAAUAAGUAUACAUAUUUAAAAACAUUCAUCUAAUAUGAUUAUUGCAAGCUACUCAACAAGUCAGAUGGUAAAGUUAAUGCGACUUGGAAGUUCACAAAGUAUUGACAAAUAGCAAAUAGAGUGUUCAGUCAAUGUAAUUGUAGUUAUACUUGUUGCUUUGGUGUUUUUUUUUUUGUUUUUUUUUUUAAAUGUUGGUUAUUGAGUGUAAACCCUGUCUAUGCCCAAGUAUCUCAGUACCCCAUUUUGAUGUAUAUAAAUCAGCCAACAAUCAUAGUAUGCAUGCUGUGUAGAAUUAAUGCAGUUUGAUACCACUUUAACUCCCAUGGUUCAAUGCUAUGGAAUUAUAGAAGCUGCAGUUUUAAAAGUCUUUAGCUUUUUCUGCCAAAGAAUAAUGGUGUCUCACCAAACUGUAAAUCACAUGAUUCCAUAACAUUGAAUCAUGACAAAUGAAGUGACAUUGAACUGUACUAAUUCUACAGUGUAGAUGCACCCAUAUAGUAACACUAAUGCUCUGGUUCAUAGGAGUAGUAAUUUUGUUGAAAGAUGCACAUGUGAGCCCAUGGGAUGAUGUUUUAGCACUGAAGUCCAAUUUUGUCUUUAAAGUACCUUCUGUCUAUUUUUAAAAUUAAAGCUAUUAUGUUGAUAUUGA